CCUACGGGAGGCAGCAGUGAGGAAUAUUGGUCAAUGGCCGCAGGGCUGAACCAGCCAAGUCGCGUGAGGGAUGACGGUCCUAUGGAUUGUAAACCUCUUUUGUCAGGGAGCAAAGGGCGCCACGUGUGGCGCUUUGCGAGUACCUGAAGAAAAAGCAUCGGCUAACUCCGUGCCAGCAGCCGCGGUAAUACGGGGGAUGCGAGUGUUAUCCGGAUUUGUUGGGUUAAAAGGGUGCGCAGGCGGAAUGUCAAGUCAGCGGUAAAAUGUCGGGGCUAAACCCCGUCGUGCAGUUGAAACUGGCGUUCUUGAGUGAGCGAGAAGUAUGCAGAAUGCGUGGUGUAGCGGUGAAAUGCGUAGAGAUCACGCAGAACUCCGAUGGCGAAGGCAGCAUACCGGAGCUAAACUGACGCUCAGGCACGAAAGCGUGGGUAUCGAACAGGAUUAGAUACCCGGGUAGUC
Molecule: ribosomal RNA, 459 nt
Filed under: uncultured bacterium
Lineage: Bacteria
Description: partial 16S ribosomal RNA
Rfam family: Bacterial small subunit ribosomal RNA
Source: RNAcentral